Molecule: ribosomal RNA, 494 nt
Filed under: uncultured bacterium
Lineage: Bacteria
Description: partial 16S ribosomal RNA
Rfam family: Bacterial small subunit ribosomal RNA
Source: RNAcentral
GACGAACGCUGGCGGCGUGCUUAACACAUGCAAGUCGAACGGUGAAGCGCCUUCCUUUUUGGUGGGUGUGGAUGAGUGGCGAACGGGUGAGUAACACGUGAGUAACCUGCCCCCUUCUUCUGGAUAACCGCAUGAAAGUGUGGCUAAUACGGGAUAUUCUGGGUCUGUCGCAUGAUGGGUCUGGGAAAGAUAUUGUUUCGGUGGGGGAUGGGCUCGCGGCCUAUCAGCUUGUUGGUGGGGUGAUGGCCUACCAAGGCGGUGACGGGUAGCCGGCCUGAGAGGGUGGACGGUCACACUGGGACUGAGACACGGCCCAGACUCCUACGGGAGGCAGCAGUGGGGAAUAUUGCACAUUGGGCGCAAGCCUGAUGCAGCGACGCCGCGUGAGGGAUGGAGGCCUUCGGGUUGUGAACCUCUUUCGCCAGUGAAGCAGGCCUGCCUCGUUUGUGGGUGGGUUGACGGUAGCUGGAUAAGAAGCGCCGGCUAACUACGUG